AAGUCUGUAACAAGGUCUCCGUUGGUGAACCAGCGGAGGGAUCAUUAGAGGGUCGCAAGACUUCCCUAAUACUUAACCAACCCGCGUACCUGCCCGAGGGAAUCAGUACGAUGCCUCGGUCGGCGGCCCCAGGGGGGGCCUCUGCCCAUCGCGCCUCUCGGGGUGCGAGGGUGCCGGCCGGCGGCCAAACUAAACUUGACAUAUAAUAAGCAUAAACUCUUAUAACAAUAACCAUUACAACCUGCAACGAUGGAUCUCUUGGCUCUGGCAUCGAUGAAGAACGCAGCGAAAUGCGAUACGUAAUGUGAAUUGCAGAUCUCUCAGUGAAUCAUCGAAUCUUUGAACGCACAUAGCGCCCGCCGGCCAUUCCGGCGGGCAUGCCUGUCCGAGCGUCGAUGACGCCCUUCGAGCCCCGCGCUCGGUGUUGGGGCACUAGGGAGCCGCAGGGUUCCCUAGGCCUCCAAGAAGAAGUGCGCGGUCCGGCUGCGGGCUCCGGGUACAGUAACUUCACUGUGAGAUGCCCUGGGAGAAGCAGCUGGCCCUGCCGUAAAACCCCCGACAUAGGCUCCUCAACCACUGAGGACCGCCACAUGUUGACCUCGGAUCAGGUAGGACUACCCGCUGAACUUAA
This 631-nucleotide ribosomal RNA is filed under the name uncultured fungus. Its description in RNAcentral is "eukaryotic LSU rRNA". The stretch from base 239 to 395 matches the Rfam family "5.8S ribosomal RNA". The record is from RNAcentral. Lineage: Eukaryota; Fungi.